This 293-nucleotide ribosomal RNA is filed under the name uncultured bacterium. Its description in RNAcentral is "partial 16S ribosomal RNA". It matches the Rfam family "Bacterial small subunit ribosomal RNA", at positions 775 to 1067 of the family's 1533-position model. The record is from RNAcentral.
GGAUUAGAUACCCUGGUAGUCCACGCCGUAAACGAUGUCUACUAGCCGUUGGGGGGAUUUACCCUUUAGUGGCGCAGCUAACGCACUAAGUAGACCGCCUGGGGAGUACGGCCGCAAGGCUAAAACUCAAAGAAAUUGACGGGGGCCCGCACAAGCGGUGGAGCAUGUGGUUUAAUUCGAUGCAACGCGAAGAACCUUACCUACCCUUGACAUCAUCAGAACUUGUCAGAGAUGACUCGGUGCCUUCGGGAACUGAUUGACAGGUGCUGCAUGGCUGUCGUCAGCUCGUGCCG